UACGAAUGGAGCGAGCGUUGUUCGGAAUCACUGGGCGUAAAGCGUACGCAGGCGGUCAUGAAAGUCAGAAGUGAAAUCCCCGGGCUUAACCCGGGAAUGGCUUUUGAAACUCCAUGACUAGAGUAUUGGAGAGGUUGGCGGAAUUCCGAGUGUAGAGGUGAAAUUCGCAGAUAUUCGGAGGAACACCAAUGGCGUAGGCAGCCAACUGGACAAUAACUGACGCUCAUGUACGAAAGCGUGGGGAUCAAACAGG
RNAcentral lists this ribosomal RNA (253 nucleotides) under uncultured bacterium. RNAcentral's name for it is "partial 16S ribosomal RNA". It matches the Rfam family "Bacterial small subunit ribosomal RNA", at positions 524 to 776 of the family's 1533-position model. The record is from RNAcentral.